RNAcentral lists this unclassified non-coding RNA (3605 nucleotides) under Hevea brasiliensis (rubber tree). Lineage: Eukaryota; Viridiplantae; Streptophyta; Magnoliopsida; Malpighiales; Euphorbiaceae. The record is from RNAcentral.
GCGGGGCUUGUGACAUUUGCAUAUUCUCUCGAGAAUAAUAAAAACUGAUACACUUGAGAGUCAAAGCUUCCAAUUUCCAUCAUCACUGAUUCGCUUCUACAAGAUGCAUCUGAUAAAUGCGGUCAUGGCCACCAGGAUGGUCACGACGCUAGCCCAAUCGAACGGCGUCGGAGAAGGAAUUCCUUUUGGAUCCGUCUGGUGGUUCAUUUACGCUGGCAUCUCCUGCAUACUCGUUCUCUUCGCCGGUAUCAUGUCCGGUCUUACGCUCGGCCUCAUGUCCCUCGGCCUCGUCGAGCUCGAAAUUCUCCAACGUAGCGGCACCUCUUCCGAGAAGAAACAAGCAGCUGCUAUUCUUCCCGUGGUUCAAAAGCAGCACCAGCUUCUAGUGACUUUGCUUCUAUGUAAUGCUGCCGCCAUGGAGGUAAUUUCGUGAACUUACGUUGAUUAUAUGAUUAUUAUAGUCAUACAAAUGGAGAUUUCUGAACAUUUUUCAGUGUUAUGAUGAAUUCGACAUUUUUUUUUGAAAGUGUGAGAUUCGGAUGUGAAAGGCUAGCAAUCGAUGCAUGAAGCAAAAUUUAGAAGAGUAAUGCGAGUGAGAUUUUAAGGUGUUAAGUAUUCAGCCGGAAAAUAUAAACUUUUAAGAUGAAUGGUUGUGGAAAACUCUACAAGAGAACCGCUGUUGUGUUUCAUUGCCACAACUGUUAUUGCCCUACAUGCUAGGGCCGUUUGUCAUUGCUGACUGGUAAUAUAAUUUGUGUUGAUGUGGUAAUCCGAGCCAUUAAUUGGGGUGUCAGAGAAGCUGAUUUGUUUUUUUAUGAAAUUUCGUGUAAACUUGUUUGGUGGUAAGUUUCGCCUCCAAGAAGUUUAAGCUUUGAACCCAAAAAUUUAAUAGGUGAGGUUGGAUGAAAUGCAUUAACAAGUAUUAUACUUCAUAUUGUUAUUUGAUUACUUCAAUGUGGGCACUUUUUGGAGAAAUAGCUUUAGUACUAUUUUAAAACAUCCAGCCCAAAAGCUUAUGCUUUUUGUUUUAGGAUCAACAAUGGAAUAACUGAAGGCAUGUGGGCCUGAGUGCAGUGAAAAGAAAAGAAAAGAUGGAAUCUGAAACUAAGAUUAUGUAAACAAUAAUAGACUAACAAUAUGAUUAUGGAAUUUUGGCACAUAAAUUUUAGUAAGAAAAUUAUUAUGCAAAUAUGAAUGUUUUAUAUUCUGAUACAAUUGCACAGAAUUCACUUUACUUUUAAUCAUAGCUGUUGACUUUGCCAUUGCAAUAUACAGGCUCUUCCUCUAUACCUCGAUAAGCUUUUCAAUCAGUAUGUUGCUAUAAUACUUUCGGUGACAUUUGUUCUGUUUUUUGGGGAGGUAUGUAUUCUACAAAUUUCCAAGGUUAAGCUGUGCCCUCCCCCACCAUAUUAGGUCCUUUGGGUUGUUGGGGAAGGGAAUAUGGUUAAAGUUGACAUUCUUUAUCUCUCAGGUUAUUCCUCAAGCAAUAUGUUCCAGAUAUGGACUCGCAGUAGGUGCCAAUUUUGUAUGGCUUGUGCGAAUUUUGAUGAUUAUUUGCUAUCCAAUAGCAUAUCCCAUUGGGAAGAUUCUGGACUGGGUACUGGGGCAUAAUGAAGCAUUAUUUAGGCGAGCUCAGUUAAAAGCUCUUGUUUCCAUCCACGGUCAGGAGGCUGGCAAGGGAGGUGAGCUCACGCAUGAUGAGACAACAAUUAUUAGCGGAGCACUGGAUUUAACUGAAAAGACUGCUGAAGAGGCUAUGACGCCUAUUGAAUCAACUUUCUCACUAGAUGUCAACUCCAAGCUGGAUUGGUUAGUCUUGCUUCCAAUUGGUUUGUUUGGUAUUUUUGUUUGAGAUGUUAUUGAGAAAAAGAUUAUAUUAAAUAUAUUUAUUAGAGAACAUUACAUUUUGAUUUGAAUUUAAAUUUGACACAUUUUAGUCUGAAGGACUUUAAAAUAGCAGUUCUUAAUGUUCUACAAUUUCUGAAAAGGUGCUUUUCCAAAAAGCAAUUUCAACGUCAAUCCAAACAGGCUCUAAAUUAUUGUUGACAUCUCUUUUUUCCCCUUACUAAUUUUUUUUUCCGUCUUAUUCUACUGAACACAUGCACUUCUCCAAUAUAUUUGUUUCUUUAAAAAUACUGUUAACUUAGGGAGGCAAUGGGAAAAGUUCUUGCUCGAGGGCAUAGCCGAGUUCCUGUGUAUUCUGGGAAUCCAAAAAAUAUUAUAGGACUUCUUCUGGUGGGUUUAGAACUAAUAUCUUUUUACAAAUUUCAGUGCUGUAAACAGAAAUCUUGAUAAAUAUCAUCCGAUUUUAUAAGUGGUUUUCCUGUCCUCUUUUUCUUCCUCCCUCCAUUCCAAUUGGAAUUAGGUGAAAAGCCUUCUCACUGUACGACCUGAGACAGAGACCCCAGUCAGUGCUGUUUCAAUUCGGAGAAUUCCACGGGUUCCAUCUGAUAUGCCUCUGUAUGAUAUACUGAAUGAGUUUCAAAAGGGCAGCAGUCAUAUGGCAGCUGUUGUGAAGUCUAAAACUAAAACCAAGGUACCUUUAUCAACAGGAGAAAAAGUUGAAGAAAACAAAGCAAAUUGUGGGGAUUCUCACUUGACAACUCCUUUACUAGCUAAGCAACAAGAGAAAUCAGAUAGUGUAGUCGUUGAUAUCAAUAGGGUUUCAAGGCCAUCCAAUAUAAAUAAGCAAAUCACUUCACAAUGUAAUGAUGCAGCAACCAAUGGUUUGCCCCAACCAUCAGAGGACAUUGAAGAUGGUGAAGUUAUUGGUAUCAUCACACUGGAAGAUGUAUUUGAAGAACUUCUGCAGGAGGAAAUUGUGGAUGAAACAGAUGAAUAUGUAGAUGUACAUAGAAGAAUCCGUGUGGCUGCAGCUGCAGCUGCUUCAUCAGUGGCACGAGCUCCAUCAAGUCGGAGGUUGACAGUAAACAAAGGAGCUGGAGGUCAAAGCAAGCCAGGGCAAACCCUCAGGAAAUCUGAGAAUGAUUCGAGUACCCCAAGGCUACUAGGGGCUGCUGGUGAGCCUUUUUCUGCAAACAAGAGAUGAGAAAGGAUAUACAGUUGUGUACUUUGCAACAGUUCUGAGAAGAGAGGUACUUUUUGUCCCUACUACAAUAAAUAUGGAAUAAAUGCUUGUAAUAUAUGGAAAUUGAUUGUACUGAGCGGACUGUCUUCUCCUUCCAGCUACGUGCUCUUCCAUUGCUGUUGUUUGUGAUGUGUAUCGUGUAUUGAGAAAAAUCUGUGAAUAUGCUCCAAUUACCUUUUGGAACUGUAAGAGAUAUAUUCUGGAAUUUUUAUUUUUAUUAUUAUUUUUUUUUGGGAUAAAGAGUUGAGAAGGAUCCUAUCAACAAAUUGGUUGAAGCCUGUAUCAUUGGGUGCUGAUGUGGAUGUUCCUAGCGUUGAUUGCAUUAUGGAAGACGGUUUCCACUGGAAACGAAAACAAUGAGAGAGAUUAUUUAUUUAUUUUGGAACUUGUGGGCAUGUGAGUGUUUGGCCUAUGAAUCUUUCAAUAUUGUCUCCUCUCUCAUAAAAUUGUUUCUUUGAUAUGUACAUAGAGGUUGCAUUAAGUAAAUCUAUGAUGCGGUUCUAGGCACAAUUUCUUU